Molecule: long non-coding RNA, 3080 nt
Organism: Corvus hawaiiensis (hawaiian crow)
Lineage: Eukaryota; Metazoa; Chordata; Aves; Passeriformes; Corvidae
Exons: 2
Source: RefSeq, a predicted model, not a curated record
CCGGUCCCGGCCGCCGCCGCCGCGCCCCGCCGGGAAGAUGAGGGGAGGGCCAAAAGCACACAAACCUGCUGUGUCAUGUGUCUGGUGGUCUUGUGUCUCUGGUCUCCACACAAAAGGUGUGUCUGCAUCCGUCUCACCUGGUCUGAUCAGAAUGCGAGUCAGAGACCUCCGGGGAUAAAUCAUCAAGCACAACAGAUGGUAGCGAAGUUUUCCCUUGCUCCCUCCUGCUCAGUUGGCAGCCCAUCUGGGAGAAGUCUUGCCCCGUGAAGAAGGGUUGCUAGAGCUCUUUCCCCAGGAAGAGGGAAAGCUGACUUACUGACUCAUAAGCACAUCUUUCAGAACCCCAAGGAGGCACCAUGGGCAGAUUGGAAGGCUGCAACGAUUUUGGGUUUCUCCCAUUGAAGAUGUUCUGCGCCACAUGAAUUUACACAUUUGCUGGUUGCACUUCUUGUUGGAAGAGGGAGCAGGGGACCGAGACCCACCCACACAGACUGUGAAUUAGGGUAUCAUAAUGUACCCAAAGUAAUCCCCACCAGGAGAGCUAGGGCACUCUCAGAGGAGGUCAGCCACAGGGUGUUUUGGAAGGCAAAAGCAGCUUAACUCCAGGAGAGGCUCCAGAACUUCCCCAUAUCCUCACUUUUGACAAUGAGGGAGGGGGUGCUUCUCUAGGUUGCACCCUCCCAGGCUGCCUCUGCUCUAGGUGAGGUGGCUGGAGCUGGUCUGUGUGUGCUGCUGGGCGUAUCCUUGUGCAGCUGCCCUUUCCUGCUUUCCCCAUGUGACACUUGGCAUCUUGCAGGUGUAUCAUGCUUCAAGUAGUCUUUUGUUAUAAAUACCACUUUUAUACUUAAUGUACAUUAUUAUUUUGUUGGAAUUCCUGAUUUUAAAGGCUUCCAUUACUGAUUCUUUUCCCUUGCAUAUACAGACAUUACUGACUAGGUUGUACUUGUCAGUAAACAUGUGUCUGUAAAUCACCUUUUCCAAUAACAAUUCUUGUUUAAUAAAUACAAGCUGUAUAACUCCAAAAUACCCUGGCAGGCUAUAUAAUCAUUUAAUAAAAACCUCCUUGAAACAUUUGCUUAGCCAUGUGUGUUUUAUUUAUGUCACUUUUUGUGGUGAAUAGCUUACAGUGCUAUUCUUUGCACAUAAAUUGCAUUUAUGUGAUGGUUUCCAUUUUUUGAUGAUUCUUUAUAUUUUCACUUCAAAGGUAUGAAGUGUGUGAAUAGUGGGUGCACCACACACCUUAGUAAUAAAACAGAUUAUAACAGAUGUUCUGUCUCAAAAGUGGAUUAGGAUCCCUGGGUGGAAAAUGUUAAGGUGCAGAGGUGUUAUUAUUUUUUAGUAUACAAAAAUACUGCUUUAGUACAACAAAUGUAGAGGUUAUUUGACAGCAGAUAUUAAUUUUUUCUUGGAAGUAAUAGAAUUAGCUCAUGUUUGGGAAAACGUCUAUGAAUAUUGCUGUAGAUGAAAAUAAAAAUUUUAACGUUCUGUCACGAGAGGUGUAACCUGUCAUUUCUUAGUCAUACCUGUAGUUUAUAAGGCAUCUGUGUUUCAGGGGUCCCUAUUCUUAAAAAUAAAAACCAGAUAUAGCAUUUUGGGUUUAUCCCUGAAAAAAUCCGUCUCUCUCUUUGCCAUGGCUGUAGUGAGUGUACAUUUGCUCUCUGUGCUGUGGUCCUGAGGCAGUGAUGGGGGGGAAGCCUCCCACUUUAAGCACUUAGGGUUUUUCUAAACAGAACAUACAGUGAAUAUCCAGAGAUGGAACCAGCCUCUAAACAGGAUUAUUCAGAUUAAAACUGUACCUCCUUACUCUUUUGUGGUAACACGUGCUUUAAUCCGAGCCAAAGUAAUGAGUUCAGCACAGAAGUUAUGGGGGAAAGCAGUGUCAUGGAGCACCUUAAUGUUUAGCUAAAGUCAGGCUUCUUGUUCUGAUGCUUUUGUAUAGCUACCAACGGGAAAUCCAAAAAAGCUGUCGUGUUUAGCUCUAAUUUAAAUGGAUGCAACAACAUGUUGAGAAAAAAAGGACUGAAUAUUCAUAGUACAAAAGUACAAACCUGUUUUAAUAACAGGAAGGUAUAUACAUCAUUCUUCUUAACCCUUUUGUUUUCAGACAUAAGCAAGCAAAGUCUUUACAUUUAUACCAAUAAACACAAUGUAUGGAGCAUUUCAGUGUCCUCCCCAUUUUCUAUUCAUUAAGCAGUUCAUGAGAUAAAUCAAGAGUCUUGCUAAUUCUUUCAGUUUGAGUGGAGGGUAACUGGAGUUGUAUCUAUGCAGUGUUAUUUUCUAACUUUUCUCUCUUUACCAUUUCUUUCUGUUUGCAUCUUUAAAAACCUAGAGAGAAUAUGAUGUUUUUAUUUAUAAUGUCAUCAAAAUUGGGGUCACCAGCCUCACUGUUUGUAGCUCAGAGUUUCCAGUAGAAAAGCAGGAGCACACCCUGAGAUGGAUAAUAAAAUCAAGUUGUCUAUAAAAUAUCAUUUAACCUUGUCACUUAGUAAUUGAUUUCUGAGCUGGAGCAAUAUGCCUGUAGCUUAGCUAAUUUUUGUUUAAUUCGAAGGCUCUGUCCUGCCAUGUUUUGACUCCUGCUGUGUGCUGUGGCAUCAUGGUGUGUGGUUGUGGGUUCCUGGGGUCAGCUGGGAGCUGUCAGACCACCCUCCACAGCCCUGCCUUUGGAUAUGUUUAGGUUUGCAGCCUUUCAACUGUGCUGCACAGUUCUGCCAGCGUCUCUCCAUAGGAAAACACCCACCCCUUUGCCUGCCAUGGUUUGGUCAGCAAAAUCCCAAGUGUGGGUACUGUGCUGCUGACAGAAAAUUGCUUUUGUUAGCUCAGCCUUGAUCUUUAGAGGACUAGGUAAGCUCUAGCUGCAGACAAACUCAUUGUCAGCAGAUUUUGGACCUCCACUGAAGGUUGCACCAUGCUGGCUGUGCCCAUGUAAAGGCAGCAGUGGUGUCUCACUGGGCACAGGUGACACUGGGUUUCCACCAGCGUACCCUGACUGUCAGGCUGGGGACCAGGCAGUCCAGCUGUGCCUCUUUCAUGUAUACUUUUAACUUAUUUUUCCUUCUCUAAAAUAAAGCAUAGACUCUGGA